This 301-nucleotide ribosomal RNA is filed under the name uncultured bacterium. RNAcentral's name for it is "partial 16S ribosomal RNA". It matches the Rfam family "Bacterial small subunit ribosomal RNA", at positions 509 to 807 of the family's 1533-position model. The record is from RNAcentral.
CAGUAGCCACGGUAAUACGAAGGGGGCUAGCGUUGUUCGGAAUUACUGGGCGUAAAGCGCACGUAGGCGGAUAUUUAAGUCAGGGGUGAAAUCCCAGAGCUCAACUCUGGAACUGCCUUUGAUACUGGGUAUCUUGAGUAUGGAAGAGGUGAGUGGAAUUCCGAGUGUAGAGGUGAAAUUCGUAGAUAUUCGGAGGAACACCAGUGGCGAAGGCGGCUCACUGGUCCAUUACUGACGCUGAGGUGCGAAAGCGUGGGGAGCAAACAGGAUUAGAGACCCCAGUAGUCCCUGUCUCUUAUAC